UUUCUCUUGAAUAUUUUUCAUAUAUUAACAUUAAAUAUUAGUGUUUCAUUUCAGGUCAGAUAAAAUCCACCCCCCACAAAGAAAAAAAAGUCAUCCCUUAGCAGACUAAUGGGAAUGAAUUGAAGAAUUUCUCUAGCAGGAAUAUAAGGAACAGUAUCAUUUUCAAAAGGUUCUGUGAGCAAAUUCCUGCCCAAACCCCUACAUGCCAGACACAUUUAGAGUUGCUCUGCUAUCAGGUGAUGGUCACAGUAUUUAGCAGCUGGUGCCACACUAGAGCAGAACAGAUCUUGAAGGCCACCUGCAGUGCAGACAUCUAUACUUUAGUUGUUGGACUGAAGUCACCUUGAGGACUGAGGGUAAAGCAACUCCUCACUAAUACAUUGGGAAAUAUUUAAAUAUUUUAAUAAUAAUUUUUUAAAUAAUAACUUU
RNAcentral lists this long non-coding RNA (429 nucleotides) under Vulpes vulpes (red fox). RNAcentral's name for it is "lncRNA (ENSVVUG00000026344.1)". Lineage: Eukaryota; Metazoa; Chordata; Mammalia; Carnivora; Canidae. The record is from RNAcentral.